Non-coding RNA from Dallia pectoralis (Alaska blackfish), 71 nucleotides. Lineage: Eukaryota; Metazoa; Chordata; Actinopteri; Esociformes; Umbridae. The record is from the annotation of a GenBank genome assembly.
GUCGGCGUGGCUCAGCGGUAGAGUGCACGUGGUGUAUUAAUGAUGUCCUGGGUUUAAUCCCCAGGUCGCCG